Molecule: RNA transcript, 1278 nt
Organism: Acanthaster planci (crown-of-thorns starfish)
Lineage: Eukaryota; Metazoa; Echinodermata; Asteroidea; Valvatida; Acanthasteridae
Gene name: glycerophosphodiester phosphodiesterase 1-like
Source: RefSeq, a predicted model, not a curated record
UCUUCACGCCGCGCGCUUCGCCGCGCUUUGCCUGGCGCUGUGUAGGCCUAGGCCUAUGUGUUGAAAAUGAGGCUCCAAGUCUACCUCAGUUGCUUAGUCAACUUCUUUACAGCGUUUUCGCUCAUCUUUUGCCCUUCCUUGAUGACGUGUGGAUGGUUAAUAUCGGUGGCAUGGUGUUUCUGGAUUGCUGUAACGCUGCUUAUCGCUUCGGUGAUUUCUCUGUUGAUGUUUCGGCUUCAGCGACCGAACGACAGGCAGAUUGAGGCUUUUUUCGGGAACGACUGGCCCAGUGUUAGCAUUUGUCACAGGGGUGGUGCUGCAGAAGCCCCCGAAAACACAACAUUUGCCUUCAGAGAGGCCAACAAGAACGGAUCAAAAUUUGUAGAGUUUGAUGUUGGACUCACCAAAGAUGGAGUACCAGUCCUCCUUCAUGAUGACUCAGUGGAUCGUACCACUAAUGGGACAGGAGCACUUAAGAACUUAACACUAGCUGAGGUGUUGAAGCUAAAUGCUGCUGCAAAACAUCCCCUCAGAGAGAAGUUUCCACAAGCCAGCAUCCCUACCCUGGAAGAGGCUACUGUCGAAUGUUUGAGCCUUGGAUUGAACAUUUUCUUUGAUGUAAAGGAUUGGUCCACAGAGAUGGUGAAUGCCAUAACUGAGCUCUUCCAGCGGCACAGUGAACUGUACGAGAGAGGGAUGGUGUGCUCUUUCUUCCCACUGCUCCCCUACAAGGUGCGCCGGCAGGAUCCAGCUAUCCUGACCGCUCUUACAACCUGCACCAACCUGAUACAGUUUGAGUUUGGUUGUGACAUGACUGGUCCCCUCUGGAAGCGUAGCCUGUGUAUCCUGGGUGAUUACCUGCUACUGUGGAGCCAGUCUGCGUGGCUCUGGAUUCUUUGUGGCAAUGCUGCCACCUUGCUUGACAAGAAGAUUGUAACAGAUAUCUCAGGUACUUGUGAAACACCACCUGAAGAGUCAUGUCAUCCACAAAGAUGUCAGUGACUAACUGUGUCAGAGCAUCUGAAAGGCCACCAAGGCUGGCAUCUCGAGCGGAGUUCAGAGCUCGCCGCAUGUCAAGUCUCACGGUCCACAUUUUCUCGGACGCAAGCCAACAACAAGUUGUGGUGCUUUGACAACGCAAUGUGGUGGCAAUCCGGGACACAUAUCGACAAAAGACCUAACAGUUCUCUGUUACAGACGAAGAAACGACCCACAAAAUAAGCAUCGACUGCACAAACAUACAAACACAAACCCCAAGUAAUAGAAACAAACAGUUGA